GACUCUAACAACCAAACAGAGGAACACUGUGGGCAUUGGUAGAUCCCAUUUAAAAACAGGGCGCCAAAUAAUGCAAAAUAUUAAGAAGAGCACACACUGAUCAUCUUAUGCCUGAGUCCUGCAGAUCCCCUCAUCUCAUUUUAGGAUGUUUUUUUUAUGUUACUGUCAGACAAGGAUUACAUCCUCCAAAAAAUGACUCAGAACUCCUGACCGUAUGUGGGAAUGCAGUUUUACAGUAUGCUGCUGCCUGAGUCAAAGCAAGGCGGAUCGUUUCCUCCUCUGAGAUCCCUCAUCUCCUAGCCACAAGUUGCUUAAAUAAAUGUGCAUAAGGACACUUAGAUCCUGGCCAGAUGGAAGAGAAUAUGAAGCUUUGCAUCCGAUUUGAUCCAAAACCCAUUAAAUGUGACUCCUCUGCUCACUGACAACUCACAUAAAGCAAAGACCCUGAAACACGCCACCUAUCUUUAUAAGGAGGGAUAAUUGAAGAUCACCAAACGUGAACAUCAUGUGGAAACGUGAUCACCAAGUCUCUCUCUCUGGGAAAGGAUCUGUGUUAGAUUAUACCUUGAAGUCACAGCAAAUGCUUAGUUGAAGAAUUGAAAUUCAACCCCCCCCCCCUUCCACACACACACACACCUCCCCUCCUCUCUAUCCCUCUACCUCCCUCCCCAACCAUCAACUCUUUGGCAUCAUUAUCUUCGUCACUAAAUCCUACUGGAUACAAGGCUGAAAACAUUUUACACCAAUCACAGAUCUUAUAACCCAAAGGAACUUAAACUUACAGAGAAUUUUUUUUUACAACAAUCCCAUGUCUACAAUCAAGAUCAUCCCACAGCACAGACUUCCACUGUAAUAUAUUGAUGCCUAUGGAUUUCUUUGUAUAUAUUUAUUGUUUUAUAUUUUGCAUUAAUGUUAUAUUUUGAUUUUUAUGCAUAUUUAUUGUUUAUUUUUUCAUGCAAUUUACAAACAAAAUGCUGAUAUUUGUUUUUUGUUAUUUAUUUAUUUUAUGCGCUUGUGCUUGAAGAAAAUAUAUGUUUUUCAGGAAAUCAUAUAUGUUUUUUUCUUUUAAUUUUCUUGGUUAAUGGAAGCAAGAAUUCUUCACUAUAACCGUUGAUUAGAGGAUGUAAUACACUUUGUUAUUGGAUAAAUGACUAAAGACAGUUUGUAGGGUAAAAGUAAGUUUAUUAUACUUGUAUUAAUUGCAUGGCAAUAAUGAUCUUUUUUAUGUAUAUUUGUAAUUAAGAGGUUGUGUAAGUAUAUGCAGAUUUUUGAUGUGGUUCCAAGAGACUUCUGUAUCUGCAUGGUUAAUUAAAUCAUCAGUCAAAGGUU
Bombina bombina (fire-bellied toad) is the source of this 1329-nucleotide long non-coding RNA. RefSeq lists it as uncharacterized. Lineage: Eukaryota; Metazoa; Chordata; Amphibia; Anura; Bombinatoridae. The record is from RefSeq and is a predicted model, not a curated record. The transcript is spliced from 2 exons.